RNAcentral lists this transfer RNA (73 nucleotides) under Zootermopsis nevadensis. It matches the Rfam family "tRNA". Rfam says of the family: Transfer RNA (tRNA) molecules are approximately 80 nucleotides in length. The record is from Rfam by way of RNAcentral. Lineage: Eukaryota; Metazoa; Arthropoda; Insecta; Blattodea; Termopsidae.
AGCACGGUGGUCUAGCGGUCAGAACACUAGCCUUGUAAGCCUGGGGUCCCGGGUUCAAUUCCCGGUGGUGCUC